This is a non-coding RNA of Danio rerio (zebrafish), 1386 nucleotides long. The record is from RefSeq and is a predicted model, not a curated record. Lineage: Eukaryota; Metazoa; Chordata; Actinopteri; Cypriniformes; Danionidae.
UAUUAUAAAAUGCAACUUAUAGAACAAAUCAAUCAAUGCAACCAACAAAUGUUUAGGGAUACUAAUGAAGAUAAAGAACUUAGGAUAUAAUCACAACAACACUUUUAACUACAUGAUAUAAGUAAUGCAAAACAAAACCAUAAGGUUAAAGAGCAUAUUGUAGGUUAAAAAACUGUUUUAAAAAAAGGUAGAAUCGUUUGUGAAAAUACUCUAUAAUACCAUAAAAUACCAUAUUAAAAUGUUUUACGAAGUGCAAGGGCACAAAUUUGAAAGAAAAUGUGUCUGUUUUCCCUCUUCCGCUUUUCUUUCUAACCACCCCGGUGACGUCAGUGCAGGGACUUAUCUGACAGACGCGCGCUGUUUACAGUGGGGCAGAGGAGCUAAUAGCAGAACUGGUUGUUAGUUUUGGCGUAAUUUAUCAUCAUCGUGGUAUAUUAUUGCGUUUAUGGAAACUGCACAAACUCCAGCCUGUCAACAGAUCAAGUCCACAAGUUUCCUCUUGCUAUUUUGGUUCGUGAAAUGGGAUGAAUCCGAUAAGAGUGAUAGCUGACGCAAACGGCGAGAAACACUCCUGGAUACGUCGGAGAUGCAGCUCGAUGAGCUGUACACGGUAAGACAACUCGUUUUUCGUUUAUGUUUGUCAACUUUCAAGUUUGUAAGCAUUAUUCUUUGAGUAAUUUGAAGCAACGUGAUGUGUUUACUUGAGUAGCCGAUAGCACGGCUGCUAGCUUGUAUUGUUAAGCAUAUUAAAUAUACUUUUUAAAGCGUGUAAAAAUGUACACAUAUGAUAAGACGGCUAGUAGCAUCAGUUUGCUAAUAUAAUAAAUGUCUUGCAUAGUUACAGCGUUGUGACUUUGUUUGCUUUGGGGUGUGUUUAUUAGACUUUGGGAGACAGAUUAUGACUCGGAGCUGAAGGCUUUCUCUCCACUGGCCUCUCGGUCAACUGUGCUUCACUUUGGCUCACAGAGUAACCUCAACUAAGAAUAUAUGCAUCAGCCCUCACUGCGUGUCUGACGGUGGACUACUGGAGGUCUUCACAGGCUCGACGAGAAUGCAGAAGUGGCCACUACAUUUGCUCUCCUUUCUAGAUCCUUCCAGCGGGUUUACAAGGAUGAAGCUGUCGGCUUCUUUUUACACAGCAUUCACAAUUUAACACACAUUAAAGACAUAAUGGUGUGGCACCCACAUAAACGUUGGCCAACUUACUGAAAAAUAAUUUUAGAUUUACUUUUAAAUGGGUCAGAUGAUAUAUUUUCCUUUCAGUAUACACACACUCACACAGAUAUUUAUACAUAUAUAAAGAGUAAAAAUGCUGGGUAUUAACACUGCUUAUGAUUUUGUGCUAUAUAAAUAAAACUUGAACUUGAGUUGCAUUUAGAAUUUGAA